GCCAUUGUUGUGUAGCGGUUGGACAUCAGACUAGGAUUCUGGAGACCAGGGUUUGAAUCCCUUCUCGGGCA
Non-coding RNA from Phrynosoma platyrhinos (Desert horned lizard), 71 nucleotides. The record is from the annotation of a GenBank genome assembly. Lineage: Eukaryota; Metazoa; Chordata; Lepidosauria; Squamata; Phrynosomatidae.